ACGAUAAUAGCAAACUGAUUGAAAGAUUAGGGCGCAAAGCCAAUGGGUCUAAAGCUUAUAAAGCAAGCUACGACAGCCGGUUGCCGAA
Molecule: non-coding RNA, 88 nt
Filed under: bovine gut metagenome
Description: Cyclic di-GMP-I riboswitch
Rfam family: c-di-GMP-I riboswitch aptamer
About the family: GEMM was predicted in a large-scale screen for bacterial structured RNA regulatory elements. Genes associated with GEMM are involved in a diverse array of functions, including chemotaxis regulation, signal transduction, secretion and chitin.
Source: RNAcentral